Molecule: unclassified non-coding RNA, 224 nt
Filed under: rhizosphere metagenome
Description: partial ribosomal RNA internal transcribed spacer region
Source: RNAcentral
ACUAUUAAAAAUCCAACGUGUCUUAAACAUCCGUUUUAGGACAUAAACCCCCUUUUUUUAAAAGCGAACUAAAACGAAGGAUUUAUUUCUCUUCGUUUCUUUUUUUUUCUCUCUUACCAUAAACCCAAUUGAAUUUUUUAGACUGAAACUUUUUUUCCUCUGGAAACAGAGAAAAAUAAAAAACAAAAUGCUAUACAACUCUUAACAACGGAUAUCUUGGUUCU